RNAcentral lists this ribosomal RNA (204 nucleotides) under uncultured bacterium. RNAcentral's name for it is "partial 16S ribosomal RNA". It matches the Rfam family "Bacterial small subunit ribosomal RNA", at positions 524 to 728 of the family's 1533-position model. The record is from RNAcentral.
UACGUAGGUGGCAAGCGUUGUCCGGAUUUAUUGGGUUUAAAGGGUGCGUAGGCGGCCCUGUAAGUCAGUGCUGAAAUAUCCCGGCUUAACCGGGAGGUGGCAUUGAUACUGCAGGGCUUGAGUAAAGUUGAGGUUGGCGGAAUUGACGGUGUAGCGGUGAAAUGCUUAGAUAUCGUCAAGAACACCGAUAGUGAAGACAGCUAA